ACACCGGCAGCUCUAGUGGUAGCUGUUUUUAUUGGGCCUAAAGCGUUCGUAGCCGGUUUGAUAAGUCACUGGUGAAAUCCUGUAGCUUAACUGUGGGAAUUGCUGGUGAUACUGUUGAACUUGAGGUCGGGAGAGGUUAGCGGUACUCCCAGGGUAGAGGUGAAAUUCUGUAAUCCUGGGAGGACCACCUGUGGCGAAGGCGGCUAACUGGAACGAACCUGACGGUGAGGGACGAAAGCUAGGGGCGCGAACCGGAUUAGAUACCCGGGUAGUCCUAGCCGUAAACGAUGCGGACUUGGUGUUGGGAUGGCUUUGAGCCGCUCCGGUGCCGAAGGGAAGCUGUUAAGUCCGCCGCCUGGGAAGUACGGCCGCAAGGCUAAAACUCAAAGGAAUUGACGGGG
RNAcentral lists this ribosomal RNA (401 nucleotides) under uncultured bacterium. RNAcentral describes it as "partial 16S ribosomal RNA". It matches the Rfam family "Archaeal small subunit ribosomal RNA", at positions 473 to 873 of the family's 1478-position model. The record is from RNAcentral.